CCCUUAGAUGUUCUGGGCCGCACGCGCGCUACACUGAUGCAUUCAACGAGUCUAAAACCUGGUCUGAGAGGGCUGGGUAAUCUUUUGAAAGUGCAUCGUGAUUGGGAUAGAUGAUUGCAAUUCUUCAUCUUCAACGAGGAAUGCCUAGUAAACGCAAGUCAUCAGCUUGCAUCGAUUACGUCCCUGCCCUUUGUACACACCGCCCGUCGCUCCUACCGAUUGAACGAUCCGAUGAAAACUGUGGAUUGAGAGUCUGAGUGGGUUCGCCUACCUCAACUUUCGAGAAGCGGUUUAAAUCUUAUCGUUUAGAGGAAGGAGAAGUCGUAACA
RNAcentral lists this ribosomal RNA (329 nucleotides) under uncultured eukaryote. Its description in RNAcentral is "partial 18S ribosomal RNA". It matches the Rfam family "Eukaryotic small subunit ribosomal RNA", at positions 1470 to 1796 of the family's 1831-position model. The record is from RNAcentral.